UACGUAGGGGGCUAGCGUUGUCCGGAAUCAUUGGGCGUAAAGGGCGCGUAGGUGGCCCGGUCAGUUCGUGGUGAAAGCGCGGGGCUCAACCCUGCGUCGGCCAUGAAUACUGCCGCGGCUGGAGCACUGUAGAGGCAGGCGGAAUUCCGGGUGUAGCGGUGGAAUGCGUAGAGAUCCGGAAGAACACCGGUGGCGAAGGCGGCCUGCUGGGCAGUAGCUGACACUGAGGCGCGACAGCGUGGGGAGCAAACAGG
RNAcentral lists this ribosomal RNA (254 nucleotides) under uncultured bacterium. Its description in RNAcentral is "partial 16S ribosomal RNA". It matches the Rfam family "Bacterial small subunit ribosomal RNA", at positions 524 to 776 of the family's 1533-position model. The record is from RNAcentral.